GAACCCUGAUGUAGAAGUCUUCGUUCAGCCACUGGACCGUCAAACUCAGCACACUCAGGUCUUUAUGUCCGAGGUCAAACUUCAGUCAUUGGCGUUGUUGUGGAGCAAAGAGACUCAGGGUUAUGCUCCAAAUUGUAGCUGCUGAAAUCCUUGAUCUGCUACCUGGAGAGAGAGGCUUCAGAUGACGUUGAGGGAAAUAAAUCGUUGCAACAUGCCGGAGGUGGAAAGUGAUGAUGCAGAGACGUCAAAAUGUGUCGCUCACUCAGUACAUGUAGGGGCAAAUUCCACCAGAUCCGGGUCCGGUCCGUCUCCAACCAUCACAGCACCAGAUCUGACAGGUCGGAGCCCUCCGGAUCAGGUACACA
Long non-coding RNA from Notolabrus celidotus (New Zealand spotty), 365 nucleotides. RefSeq lists it as uncharacterized. The transcript has 4 exons. The record is from RefSeq and is a predicted model, not a curated record. NCBI's taxonomy places the organism in Eukaryota, Metazoa, Chordata, Actinopteri, Labriformes, Labridae.